This 427-nucleotide ribosomal RNA is filed under the name uncultured bacterium. RNAcentral's name for it is "partial 16S ribosomal RNA". It matches the Rfam family "Bacterial small subunit ribosomal RNA", at positions 355 to 774 of the family's 1533-position model. The record is from RNAcentral.
UAGGGAAUCUUCCGCAAUGGACGAAAGUCUGACGGAGCAACGCCGCGUGAGUGAUGAAGGUUUUCGGAUCGUAAAACUCUGUUAUUAGGGAAGAACAAAUGCGUAAGUAACUGUGCGCAUCUUGACGGUACCUAAUCAGAAAGCCACGGCUAACUACGUGCCAGCAGCCGCGGUAAUACGUAGGUGGCAAGCGUUAUCCGGAGUUAUUGGGCGUAAAGCGCGCGUAGGCGGUUUCUUAAGUCUGAUGUGAAAGCCCACGGCUCAACCGUGGAGGGUCAUUGGAAACUGGGAAACUUGAGUACAGAAGAGGAAAGUGGAAUUCCAUGUGUAGCGGUGAAAUGCGCAGAGAUAUGGAGGAACACCAGUGGCGAAGGCGACUUUCUGGUCUGUAACUGACGCUGAUGUGCGAAAGCGUGGGGAUCAAACA